RNAcentral lists this long non-coding RNA (212 nucleotides) under Elaeis guineensis (African oil palm). RNAcentral describes it as "long non-coding RNA (EGUI_LNC021328)". Lineage: Eukaryota; Viridiplantae; Streptophyta; Magnoliopsida; Arecales; Arecaceae. The record is from RNAcentral.
UGCCAAACUGAGGGGAGAAAUACCACCAGUCCUUCACCGAAGGAUGACGCUUGAAGGUAUAGAAGUGCCUAAACAGAGAGAGGGACGGUCGGACCUCGACUACAUGGCAAAGGGAGAGAAAUCCUAUCAAAAACCUAAAAGAAUUCAGAGCAAUAGAAGCCAAAGAGAUGUCUAAGAAGCGAAAGAGGGUGACAACAAAGGAUGGAAGCGGA